RNAcentral lists this ribosomal RNA (459 nucleotides) under uncultured bacterium. Its description in RNAcentral is "bacterial SSU rRNA". It matches the Rfam family "Bacterial small subunit ribosomal RNA", at positions 340 to 786 of the family's 1533-position model. The record is from RNAcentral.
UACGGAAGGCAGCAGUGGGGAAUAUUGGACAAUGGGCGAAAGCCUGAUCCAGCCAUGCCGCGUGUGUGAAGAAGGCCUUUUGGUUGUAAAGCACUUUAAGCGAGGAGGAGGCUACUUAGAUUAAUACUCUAGGAUAGUGGACGUUACUCGCAGAAUAAGCACCGGCUAACUCUGUGCCAGCAGCCGCGGUAAUACAGAGGGUGCGAGCGUUAAUCGGAUUUACUGGGCGUAAAGCGUGCGUAGGCGGCUUCUUAAGUCGGAUGUGAAAUCCCUGAGCUUAACUUAGGAAUUGCAUUCGAUACUGGGAAGCUAGAGUAUGGGAGAGGAUGGUAGAAUUCCAGGUGUAGCGGUGAAAUGCGUAGAGAUCUGGAGGAAUACCGAUGGGCGAAGGGCAGCCAUCUGGGCCUAAUACUGACGCUGAGGUACGAAAGCAUGGGGAGCAAACAGGGAUUAGAUACC